Molecule: ribosomal RNA, 427 nt
Filed under: uncultured bacterium
Lineage: Bacteria
Description: bacterial SSU rRNA
Rfam family: Bacterial small subunit ribosomal RNA
Source: RNAcentral
GACGAACGCUGGCGGCGUGCUUAACACAUGCAAGUCGAGCGAUGAAGUUUCCUUCGGGAAAUGGAUUAGCGGCGGACGGGUGAGUAACACGUGGGUAACCUGCCUCAUAGAGGGGAAUAGCCUUUCGAAAGGAAGAUUAAUACCGCAUAUGGUAGCUUUACCGCAUGGUAGUGCUAUUAAAGGAGCAAUCCGCUAUGAGAUGGACCCGCGUCGCAUUAGCUAGUUGGUGAGGUAACGGCUCGACCAAGGCGACGAUGCGUAGCCGACCUGAGAGGGUGAUCGGCCACAUUGGACUGAGACACGGCCCAGACUCCUACGGAGGCAGCAGUGGGAAUAUUGCACAAUGGGGGAAACCCUGGAUGCAGCAACGCCGCGUGAGUGAUGACGGUCUUCGGAUUGUAAAGCUCUGUUGAGAGGGACGAGAGGC